CGAAAGCCUGACGGAGCAACGCCGCGUGAGGGAUGAAGGCCUCUGGGCUGUAAACCUCUUUUCUCAAGGAAGAAGAUCUGACGGUACUUGAGGAAUAAGCCACGGCUAAUUCCGUGCCAGCAGCCGCGGUAAUACGGGAGUGGCAAGCGUUAUCCGGAAUUAUUGGGCGUAAAGCGUCCGCAGGCGGCCCUGUAAGUCUGUCGUUAAAGCGUGGAGCUUAACUCCAUUUAAGCGAUGGAAACUACAGGGCUUGAGUGUGGUAGGGGCAGAGGGAAUUCCCGGUGUAGCGGUGAAAUGCGUAGAUAUCGGGAAGAACACCAGUGGCGAAGGCGCUCUGCUGGGCCAUAACUGACGCUCAUGGACGAAAGCCAGGGGAGCG
Molecule: ribosomal RNA, 379 nt
Filed under: uncultured cyanobacterium
Lineage: Bacteria; Bacillati; Cyanobacteriota
Description: bacterial SSU rRNA
Rfam family: Bacterial small subunit ribosomal RNA
Source: RNAcentral